GGGGAAUAUUGCACAAUGGGCGAAAGCCUGAUGCAGCAACGCCGCGUGAGUGAUGAAGGCCUUCGGGUUGUAAAGCUCUGUCUUUUGGGACGAUAAUGACGGUACCAAAGGAGGAAGCCACGGCUAACUACGUGCCAGCAGCCGCGGUAAUACGUAGGUGGCGAGCGUUGUCCGGAUUUACUGGGCGUAAAGGAUGCGUAGGCGGAUUUUUAAGUGAGAUGUGAAAUACCCGGGCUUAACUUGGGUGCUGCAUUUCAAACUGGAAGCCUAGAGUGCGGGAGAGGAGAGUGGAAUUCCUAGUGUAGCGGUGAAAUGCGUAGAGAUUAGGAAGAACACCAGUGGCGAAGGCGACUCUCUGGACCGCAACUGACGCUGAGGCAUGAAAGCGUGGGUAGCAAAC
RNAcentral lists this ribosomal RNA (400 nucleotides) under uncultured bacterium. RNAcentral describes it as "bacterial SSU rRNA". It matches the Rfam family "Bacterial small subunit ribosomal RNA", at positions 356 to 773 of the family's 1533-position model. The record is from RNAcentral.